UCAAAAACUUAAAUCUCUCUCUAUCGUUCUCUUUGCCUUGGUACCGAAACUUAGCACUGCCACCGAAAUAAGCACAAAAACUUUGCUCACAAUGCAAACAGAAAAAUCGCCUUAGAGACUUUUCAUCUGUUUUCAAAAAUCGAAACUCAAUCCUUCGCAGUUACUUAACAAAGAUGGUUGUCGUGGCUUAUGGCCAUCACCGGAGAAGAAAUCAGCGAUUGAGCUCAUCAUCGUCGAGCAGCAGAGAUGAAGAAUAACAAUCCAAAAGUGAUGAUGGCUGUUGAUGCAGCAGCGAGGCAGCGGCGAGUGGUGUUCAUGCCAACAGUGAAGAAAGAGUAGCUAGAAGCAAGUUGAUGGCACGGUGAAGAGAACGAGAACUCCGAAAUCCUACCAUCGACGGUGUUGCAGAGGUAUUUGGAGAUGAUUUUUUUAUGUCUAAUACAAAACACAUUAAGAGAGCAGUACUAGAGUGUGCGUGUAACUCUCUUCUUCUUAAGGUAUUUUCUGGCUGAAAUUGAGGGACCUGAGCAAAAAUCUGAUUCAGAGGCUGAAAAGGACUGCAGAUGCUGUUGGAUUCUGACCUCUCUGCACUCGAAGUAACUUUUCUGGAGCUACAAAAGCCCAAUUGGCGCGCUCUUAAUUGCGUUGGAAAGUAGACAUCCUGGGCUUUCCAGCAAUAUAUAAUAGUUCAUACUUUGUCCGAGAUUUGAUGGCCCAAAAAAGCAUUUCAAGUCAGCUCAAGAAUUUUGGCGUAAAACGCCGGAACUGGCACAAGAAUGGGAGUUAAACGCCCAAACUGGCACAAAAGCUGGCGUUUAACUCCAAGAAAAGUCUCUACACGAAAAUGCUUCAAUGCUCAACCCAAGCACACACCAAGUGGGCCCGAAAGUGGAUUUUAAUGUCAUUUACUCAUCUUUGUAAACCCUAAGCUACUAGUUCUCUACAAAUAGGACCUUUUACUAUUGUAUUUUCAUCUUUUGAUCACUUUAGAUCUUAGGAUCAUCUUUGGACGUCUAGUUCUUAGAUUAUGGGAGGCUGGUCAUUCGGCCAUGCCUAGACCUUGUUCUUAUGUAUUUUCACCGGUGGAUUUUUUACAUACCAUAGAUUAAGGUGUGGAGCUCUGCUGUAC
This is a long non-coding RNA of Arachis duranensis, 1129 nucleotides long. RefSeq lists it as uncharacterized. Lineage: Eukaryota; Viridiplantae; Streptophyta; Magnoliopsida; Fabales; Fabaceae. The transcript has 3 exons. The record is from RefSeq and is a predicted model, not a curated record.